Molecule: small RNA, 196 nt
Filed under: Arabidopsis thaliana (thale cress)
Lineage: Eukaryota; Viridiplantae; Streptophyta; Magnoliopsida; Brassicales; Brassicaceae
Description: ATSL178670
Source: RNAcentral
AUAAAAUUUUAAAAUAUUAUUAAUAUGUUGUUUUAAUAGGGGUUAAAACUUCAGUUUUUUAACAAUUGUCUCAUGGAUUCGUGGUAUAGUGUUACUUAAUAACAAUUAUAAACUGUAAAAUAUAAAUAUUUUAUAAAAAUAAAAUUUGCAAAUUUUAAUAUAUAUUACUUUUAAAAAAUAAAUCAUCCCCUGGUAU